RNAcentral lists this ribosomal RNA (273 nucleotides) under uncultured bacterium. RNAcentral's name for it is "partial 16S ribosomal RNA". It matches the Rfam family "Bacterial small subunit ribosomal RNA", at positions 524 to 796 of the family's 1533-position model. The record is from RNAcentral.
UACGGAGGGUGCAAGCGUUAUCCGGAUUCACUGGGUUUAAAGGGUGCGUAGGCGGGCCUGUAAGUCCGUGGUGAAAUCUCUGAGCUUAACUCGGAAACUGCCAUGGAUACUAUGGGUCUUGAAUACUCGGGAGGUGAGCGGAAUAUGUCAUGUAGCGGUGAAAUGCUUAGAUAUGACAUAGAACACCAAUUGCGAAGGCAGCUUGCUACAGAGUUAUUGACGCUGAGGCACGAAAGCGUGGGGAUCAAACAGGAUUAGAAACCCCAGUAGUCC